Molecule: ribosomal RNA, 175 nt
Rfam family: Bacterial large subunit ribosomal RNA
UGUGGAAGGGAUAAGUGCUGAAAGCAUCUAAGCAUGAAGCCCCCCUCAAGAUGAGAUUUCCCUUGGAGUUAAUCCAGUAAGACCCCUUAAAGAUGAUGAGGUUGAUAGGUCUCGGGUGGAAGCACGGUGACGUGUGGAGCUGAGAGAUACUAAUCGGUCGAGGACUUAUCCUAAA